RNAcentral lists this ribosomal RNA (404 nucleotides) under uncultured bacterium. RNAcentral describes it as "partial 16S ribosomal RNA". It matches the Rfam family "Bacterial small subunit ribosomal RNA", at positions 28 to 526 of the family's 1533-position model. The record is from RNAcentral.
GACGAACGCUGGCGGCGUGCUUAACACAUGCAAGUCGAGCGGAGCGGCGAACGGGUGAGUAACGCGUGAGUAACUGCCCCCCUCUCUGGGAUAACAGUUGGAAACGGCUGCUAAUACCGGAUAGUGGGGGAUGAAUCGCUGCGUAUCAGCUUGUUGGUGGGGUAGUGGCCUACCAAGGCGAAGACGGGUAGCCGGCCUGAGAGGGCGACCGGCCAAAUUGGGCUGAGAUACGGCCCAAACUCCUACGGGAGGCAGCAGUGGGGAAUAUUGCGCAAUGGGGGAAACCCGGAUGCAGCAACCCGCGUGCGGGAUGACGGCCUUCGGGUUGUAAACCUCUUGCAGCCAUGACGCGGUAGUGGCAGAAGAAGCACCGGCUAACUACGUGCCAGCCGCCGCGGUAAUUC